AGUGAACGCUGGCGGUAGGCCUAACACAUGCAAGUCGAACGGCAGCACAGUAAGAGCUUGCUCUUACGGGUGGCGAGUGGCGGACGGGUGAGGAAUACAUCGGAAUCUACUUUUUCGUGGGGGAUAACGUGGAAACUUACGCUAAUACCGCAUACGACCUACGGGUGAAAGCAGGGGAUCUUCGGACCUUGCGCGAUUGAAUGAGCCGAUGUCGGAUUAGCUAGUUGGCGGGGUAAAGGCCCACCAAGGCGACGAUCCGUAGCUGGUCUGAGAGGAUGAUCAGCCACACUGGAACUGAGACACGGUCCAGACUCCUACGGGAGGCAGCAGUGGGGAAUAUUGGACAAUGGGCGCAAGCCUGAUCCAGCCAUACCGCGUGGGUGAAGAAGGCCUUCGGGUUGUAAAGCCCUCUUGUUGGGAAAGAAAAGCAGCAGGUUAAUACCCCGCUGUUCUGACGGUACCCAAAGAAUAAGCACCGGCUAACUUCGUG
RNAcentral lists this ribosomal RNA (490 nucleotides) under uncultured bacterium. RNAcentral's name for it is "partial 16S ribosomal RNA". It matches the Rfam family "Bacterial small subunit ribosomal RNA", at positions 29 to 507 of the family's 1533-position model. The record is from RNAcentral.